This 445-nucleotide long non-coding RNA is filed under the name Cricetulus griseus (Chinese hamster). RNAcentral describes it as "lncRNA (ENSCGRG00015032185.1)". Lineage: Eukaryota; Metazoa; Chordata; Mammalia; Rodentia; Cricetidae. The record is from RNAcentral.
AGUAUCUUCUUAUAUUUCACCUUUAUGAUUGUUAAUUUUGGAUACUUUACACUGUUAAGUUUUAAUCCUCUUUUAGACUAAAAGGGGAAUUGUAGGGGAAGCUGUAGCCAUGCCUACUUAGGGGCUGGCUACAGUGUGCCUGACCACGCUUGUGAGGGCGUGGUCAGGGUGACAUAGAGGACACUUUCAGGGGAUUGCGUUUCUCUUUUGGUUUCACUUUGGUACUUGCUGGACAGACUGCUGCCAUGCCGGUUGCUCUGUAAUCUGGCCUCUGACUCUUUGGGUGUCAGUCUCAUGGAUGUGGACAGAUUUCUGUACCUUUCAACUAAAAGCAAGAUGUCUACUCUGAGUUUAUUUUUAAGGUGUUGAUGCCAAACUGAAAGCCCUGAGCCAGCAGCAUUGGAAUCAUUUGGGAAGUCGAAAUGCAGAACCUCAGGCACUCCCC